UACGGAGGGAGCUAGCGUUGUUCGGAAUUACUGGGCGUAAAGCGCACGUAGGCGGCUACUCAAGUCAGAGGUGAAAGCCCGGGGCUCAACCCCGGAACUGCCUUUGAAACUAGGUAGCUAGAAUCUUGGAGAGGUCAGUGGAAUUCCGUGUGUAGAGGUGAAAUUCGUAGAUAUUCGGAAGAACACCAGUGGCGAAGGCGACUGACUGGACAAGUAUUGACGCUGAGGUGCGAAAGCGUGGGGAGCAAACAGG
Molecule: ribosomal RNA, 253 nt
Filed under: uncultured bacterium
Lineage: Bacteria
Description: partial 16S ribosomal RNA
Rfam family: Bacterial small subunit ribosomal RNA
Source: RNAcentral